Labrus bergylta (ballan wrasse) is the source of this 819-nucleotide long non-coding RNA. RefSeq lists it as uncharacterized. The record is from RefSeq and is a predicted model, not a curated record. Lineage: Eukaryota; Metazoa; Chordata; Actinopteri; Labriformes; Labridae.
CUCGGGAAGCCGUCAGUCCUGCUGGAGGAGAAGGAAGAAGAAGGAUAAGGAUCUGAUAAGGAAAUCUUGUGAAAACCUGAAUCCUCUGCAGAUAUAAUGGAGCUAACUGGGACGCCUCUGAUGCUGUGACGUGGAGCUUGAUUGGACAUUUGCAGCGGUGUUUAAAAGCCUCAGGGAGAGACUUCAGGGGAAUGCAGGUCUGCAGGACGAUGUCUAGCUCUCCUCUCCAUGACGACACAGACUCUGUCCUCACUGCGGCGCGGCUCGCCCGCAGAGGAUGGACGGAGGGCGGGCAGAAGUCGAAGUGGCAGUUCUCCCACACGAACAGUUCACCUCGUCAAACGACCGUCUCGAGAUCAGACGAGAAUCUGGUUCAAAUCCGCGUCGAGGUUUAUGUGAAGGACUCCAGGAGCAGGCAGGGUCCAGUCUUCAGCGGCAGGACGACGUCUGACAGCAGAGAGAGCGGUGUAGGUGCAUUUUUAGCAAACAGACAAAAUAAUACAAACACUCUUAAAGACAAGCAGAAGAUUCUCUGCAGUCAGACGGGUGUCGUCUACGUGUGGGCGUCGGGCUGUCGCAACAAAAGCAGACCGUCCAGACGGUUCAGGCCCCCGAUGCUGCCCGUGAUCCCUGAGAUCUGAGCUCUGCAUAACACUCGGUCAUGACGACUCUUCCUGGUGAUGAUAGAGGUGCUGAAAUCUAUCCAAACUGUAACUAAACUUUAAGGUGAAAACGUCACGGCUGUAAUGAUUGAGUGGAUAAAAUGUUUUUAUGAUACGAUGUGUUAAUGCUGAUUUUUUUCAAUAAAAUAAAAAUGGA